RNAcentral lists this ribosomal RNA (262 nucleotides) under uncultured bacterium. RNAcentral's name for it is "partial 16S ribosomal RNA". It matches the Rfam family "Bacterial small subunit ribosomal RNA", at positions 96 to 354 of the family's 1533-position model. The record is from RNAcentral.
UGGCGGACGGGUGAGUAACGACGUGGAAAACCUGCCGUAGUACUGGGGGAUAACAACUUAGAAAUAGGUGCUAAUACCGCAUAAGCGCACAGCUUCGCAUGAAGCGGUGUAGAAAAACUCUGGUGGUAUACGAUGGUUCCGCGUCUGAUUAGCUAGUUGGUGGGGUAAUGGCCUACCAAGGCAACGAUCAGUAGCCGGCCUGAGAGGGUGAACGGCCACAUUGGGACUGAGACACGGCCCAAACUCCUACGGAAGGCAGCAG